GGUGAAAUAUAGAGUCGUCUGGUGAUAGAUGUGGAGGGAAGGAUAUGGCGGUGACGGGCAGGGAGGAGAAGGGAAAGGAAGCGAGGCAGCAGAAGGGGGAUAGCAGAAACACGAGAGGGUACAUUGUAAAAGGUAGGGAAAAAGAGGUGUAAAGAAUAAAAAUGAAAGGAAGAAGGAUGGGUGAGGAGGAAAGAGAAAUCGUAUGACAAAAGGAAAAGAAGGGAAAAUGAAAAUAGACUUAUGGAGGCAAGAUGGAAAUAAAGAAAAGAUCGAGGGAAGUUAGAUGAAAAAAAAUAAAUGAAAAAAAAAGGAAAGGGGAUUUAGUUUUGAGAAGGGAACAUAAGUAUGAGAGAAAGGAAGUAAUGACGAGAGAAUGUAUAUAAGGCAGGAAGAAUAUGAAGUGCAUAUGAAUGAAGUUUAGAUAAGGAAGUCAGACAAACAAACACCGUAGGAAAAGGAAAGCCGUUAUGUAAUCUGAUGAAAUACAGUGAUAAAAGUGACAGACGACAGGUAGGGAAAAUAAAGGAACCUGAAAGAAGUGAAUAACAAAGAAAUAUAUUAGGUAAGGUUAGAAAAGACUUAGAUAAACAGGAACAGGAAAGAUUGACCAUUGGAAGGAAAGGGAUAUAGGUGCAAAAAUUAGGUAAAAUGGAAAGAAGGAAGAAAUAGGACUUAGAAUGAAGGAGCAAAGAAAGAAAGGAAGGAAAAGAAUAAGAAAGAAGUUAUAAAAAAAGUAAAGGAAUUUGAGAGCGAGAGGAACUAAAGAAAAUAUCCGGGAAAGGAAGAAUAAGGAACACAUUAUAAAAAAAGAAAGUGGGAGGGAAGGAAAGGUCUUCCAUAGGAAGGGAAGGCAGUGGCGUAAUGGGGAAGGUAAAGUAACAAAUAUUGGGAAAAAAGGAGGGGAAGGAAGAAGGGUCUGUAAAAAUGGAGAGAGGAGGUUAAAUGAUGAAUGAAGGAGGGAGGGAAGGAGGAAGAGAGUGCCACAAAAGGGAGGGAAAGAAAGAAGGGUCUGUAAAAAUGGAGAGAGAAGGUUAAAGGAUGAAUGAAGGAGGGAGGGAAGGAGUAAGAGAGUCCCACAAAAGGGAGGGAAAGAAAGAAGGGUAUGUAAAAAUGGAGAGAGAAGGUUAAAUGAUGAAUGAAGGAGGGAGGGAAGGAGGAAGAGAGUGUCACAAAAGGGAGGGAAAGAAAGAAGGGUAUGUAAAAAUGGAGAGAGGAGGUUAAAUGAUGAAUGAAGGAGGGAGGGAAGGAGGAAGAGAGUGCCACAAAAGGGAGGGAAAGAAAGAAGGGUAUGUAAAAAUGGAGAGAGGAGGUUAAAUGAUGAAUGAAGGAGGGAGGGAAGGAGGAAGAGAGUGCCACAAAAGGGAGGGAAAGAAAGAAGGGUAUGUAAAAAUGGAGAGAGGAGGUUAAAUGAUGAAUGAAGGAGGGAGGGAAGGAGGAAGAGAGUGCCACAAAAUCACGAAUAUGAAGAUGAGCAGGCAAGCAGGUGAGAUCCUCGUCCUACCAUAAUGCUUCUCUACUCCUCUCAGCUUUUCCUCUUGCUCCUCCUCUUCUUCUUCUUCCUCCUCCUCCUCCUCUUCUGCCUCCUUGUCUUCCUCCUCGUCAUCCUCCUUCUCUUCCUCCUCCUAUUCCUCUUACUCCUCCCCAACUUCCUCCACAGGUAAAUAGAAAGAGAGGUGUCUGUCCCGUAGAGCACGACUCGUGAAUUAAGCAAAGGACGUAAGUGGAGGUGUGAGUGUGUGUGUGUGUGUGUGUGUGUGUGUGUGUGUGUGUGUGUGUGUGUGUGUGUGUUAUGUAUGUAUAUCUUACCGUGAGUGAUGUGUCUUUGCUUUUAACUUCAUUAUGUUCACAGUUUGUCUUGCUUAUUUUUCGUCUUUUUUCCGUCGGUUCGUCACGUCCCU
Eriocheir sinensis (Chinese mitten crab) is the source of this 1898-nucleotide long non-coding RNA. RefSeq lists it as uncharacterized. The record is from RefSeq and is a predicted model, not a curated record. Lineage: Eukaryota; Metazoa; Arthropoda; Malacostraca; Decapoda; Varunidae. The transcript has 3 exons.